UUGAGCGGAGAUUAUGGAGCUUGCUUUAUAUAACUUAGCAGCGAACGGGUGAGUAACACGUAGAUAAUCUAUCCUAUACUGGGGGAUAGCCCGAUGAAAGUUGGAUUAAUACCGCAUAUAGCUAUAUAGUUGCAUGAUUAUGUAGUGAAAGAUUUAUUGGUAUAGGAGGAGUCUGCGGCACAUUAGCUAGUAGGUGAGGUAAAGGCUUACCUAGGCGACGAUGUGUAGCCGGUCUGAGAGGAUGAACGGCCACAAUGGAACUGAGACACGGUCCAUACUCCUACGGGAGGCAGCAGUGGGGAAUAUUGCACAAUGGGGGAAACCCUGAUGCAGCAACGCCGCGUGAGUGAAGAAGGUUUUCGGAUUGUAAAGCUCUGUUAGCAGGGAAGAGGAAGGACGGUACCUGCAGAGGAAGCCACGGCUAACUACGUGCCAGCAGCCGCGGUAAUACGUAGGUGGCAAGCGUUGUUCGGAAUAACUGGGCGUAAAGGAUGCGUAGGCGGUUAAACAAGUUAUAUGUUAAAUAUAUAGGCUUAACCUGUAGAAAGCAUAUAAAACUGUUUAACUAGAGUGCAGGAGAGGUAAGUGGAAUUCCUAGUGUAGCGGUGAAAUGCGUAGAGAUUAGGAAGAACACCAGUGGCGAAGGCGACUUACUGGACUGUAACUGACGCUGAGGCAUGAGAGCAUGGGGAGCAAACAGGAUUAGAUACCCUGGUAGUCCAUGCUGUAAACGAUGGGUACUAGGUGUGGGGUUGUGAAUAACAAU
Molecule: ribosomal RNA, 766 nt
Filed under: uncultured bacterium
Lineage: Bacteria
Description: bacterial SSU rRNA
Rfam family: Bacterial small subunit ribosomal RNA
Source: RNAcentral